AUGCUUACUUUGGUGGCAGCACAUGUACUAAAAUUGGAACAAUACAGAGACGAGUAGCAUGGCCCUUGCAAGGAUGACACGCAAGUUUGAAAGCGUUCCGUAUUUCUU
Molecule: small nuclear RNA, 108 nt
Organism: Molossus molossus (Pallas's mastiff bat)
Lineage: Eukaryota; Metazoa; Chordata; Mammalia; Chiroptera; Molossidae
Source: RefSeq, a predicted model, not a curated record